Molecule: ribosomal RNA, 422 nt
Filed under: uncultured archaeon
Lineage: Archaea
Description: partial 16S ribosomal RNA
Rfam family: Archaeal small subunit ribosomal RNA
Source: RNAcentral
CUACGGGUGGCUCCAGUUAGGAAUAAUCUACAAUGCGCGCAAGCGUGAUAGUUUGAGUCGGAGUGCGUCUCAUUUUGGGAUGCUUUUCUGUACUCUAAAACGGUACAGGAAUAAGGACUGGGUAAGACGAGUGCCAGCCGCCGCGGUAAUACUCGCGGUCCAAGUCGCAGCCAUUUUUAUUGGGUCUAAAACAUCCGUAGCUUGCCUGGUAAGUUCCUUGUGAAAUUCCAUAUCUUAAAUAUGGAGCGAGCAGGGAGUACUGCCUGGCUAGAGACUGGAAGACGUAAUGAGUACGUUCAAAGUAGCGGUAAAAUGUGUUAAUCUUGAACGGACUAACAAUAGCGAAGGCACAUUACGAGGACAGUUCUGACAGUAAGGGAUGAAGGCUAGGGGCGCAAAACGGAUUAGAUACCCCUGUAGUC